RNAcentral lists this unclassified non-coding RNA (329 nucleotides) under soil metagenome. RNAcentral describes it as "partial contains 5.8S ribosomal RNA, internal transcribed spacer 2, and large subunit ribosomal RNA". The stretch from base 1 to 120 matches the Rfam family "5.8S ribosomal RNA", at positions 35 to 154 of the family's 154-position model. The record is from RNAcentral.
GAUGAAGAACGUAGCGAAAUGCGAUAAGUAAUGUGAAUUGCAGAAUUCAGUGAAUCAUCGAAUCUUUGAACGCACAUUGCGCCCCUUGGUAUUCCGCGGGGCAUGCCUGUUCGAGCGUCAUUAUAACCCCUCAAGCUCAGCUUGGUGUUGGGGCCUGCUGCACUGGCAGCCCUUAAAAUCAGUGGCGGCGCCAUCUGGCUCUAAGCGUAGUAAUUCUUCUCGCUAUGGAGUCCUGGUGGAUGCUUGCCAUCAACCCCCAAUUUUUCUAUGGUUGACCUCGGAUCAGGUAGGGAUACCCGCUGAACUUAAGCAUAUCAAUAAGCGGAGGA